RNAcentral lists this ribosomal RNA (1366 nucleotides) under Cutibacterium acnes. Its description in RNAcentral is "partial 23S ribosomal RNA". It matches the Rfam family "Bacterial large subunit ribosomal RNA", at positions 1 to 1329 of the family's 2925-position model. Lineage: Bacteria; Bacillati; Actinomycetota; Actinomycetes; Propionibacteriales; Propionibacteriaceae. The record is from RNAcentral.
UGCAAAGUUGUGUAGUGCGAUCGGUGGAUGCCUUGGCACCAAGAGCCGAUGAAGGACGUUGUGACCUGCGAUAAGCCCUGGGGAGUUGGUGAGCGAGCUGUGAUCCGGGGGUGUCCGAAUGGGGAAACCUGGAAUGUCCGGAGUAGUGUCCGGUGGCCCUGCCCUGAAUGUAUAGGGGUGUGGGUGGUAACGCGGGGAAGUGAAACAUCUUAGUACCCGUAGGAAGAGAAAACAAGUGUGAUUCCGUGAGUAGUGGCGAGCGAAAGCGGAGGAGGCUAAACCGUGUGUGUGUUCAAGCCGGCAGGUGUUGCAUGUGCGGGGUUGUGGGGGCCUUGUGGUUCUGCUGCCGCAGGAUUGGCCAGUGAGAAAUGUUGCGUGAAGGUGAAGCGUCUGGGAAGGCGUACCGGAGUGGGUGAGAGUCCUGUAACUGUAAGCGUGGCACUGGUGUGGGGUUGCCCCGAGUAGCGUGGGACUCGUGGAAUUUCGCGUGAAUCUGGCGGGACCACCCGUCAAGCCUAAAUACUCCUUGGUGACCGAUAGUGGAUGAGUACCGUGAGGGAAGGGUGAAAAGUACCCCGGGAGGGGAGUGAAAGAGUUCCUGAAACCGGUCGCAUGCAAGCCGUCAGAGCCUGUGUGGUGAUGGCGUGCCUUUUGAAGAAUGAGCCUGCGAGUUAGUGAUGCGUGGCGAGGUUAACCCGUGGUGGGGGAGUCGUAGCGAAAGCGAGUCCGAUAAGGGCGUGAGUCGCGUGUUCUAGACCCGAAGCGGUGUGAUCUAUCCAUGGCCAGGAUGAAGCGUCGGUAAGACGUCGUGGAGGUCCGAACCCACUUCAGUUGAAAAUGGAGGGGAUGAGUUGUGGAUAGGGGUGAAAGGCCAAUCAAACACCGUGAUAGCUGGUUCUCCCCGAAAUGCAUUUAGGUGCAGCGUUGCGUGGUUCUUGUUGGAGGUAGAGCACUGGAUGGUCUAGGGGGCUUAUCGGCUUACCGAAAUCAGCCAAACUCCGAAUGCUGGCAAGUGUAGCGUGGCAGUGAGACGGCGGGGGAUAAGCUUCGUCGUCGAGAGGGAAACAGCCCAGAUCAUCAGCUAAGGCCCCUAAGUGGUGACUCAGUGGGAAAGGAUGUGGAGUUGCGUAGACAACCAGGAGGUUGGCUUGGAAGCAGCCAUCCUUGAAAGAGUGCGUAAUAGCUCACUGGUCAAGUGAUUCCGCGCCGAUAAUGUAGCGGGGCUUAAGUUAUCCGCCGAAGCUGUGGCAACCUGUGUGGUUGGGUAGGGGAGCGUCGUGUCAGUGGUGAAGCUGCCGGGUGACUGUGUGGUGGAGUUGAUGCGAGUGAGAAUGCAGGCAUGAGUAGCGUGUGACGGGUGGGAAUC